GUUAAAAUAAAAUUAAAGGACGAGAAGACCCUAUAGAUCUUUAUUUUUGUUAUUUAUAAAUUAAAAAGAAUUUUAAAAUUUAUAAUUUAAUAAAAAAUUUUAUUGGGGUGAUAUUAAAAUUUAAAAAACUUUUAAAAUUUAUUAACAUAAAUAUAUGAAUAAAUGAUCCAGUUUUAUUGAUUAAAAAUUUAAGUUACCUUAGGGAUAACAGCGUAAUUUUUUUUUAGAGUUCUUAUCGACAAAAAAGA
RNAcentral lists this ribosomal RNA (248 nucleotides) under Culex quinquefasciatus (southern house mosquito). Its description in RNAcentral is "partial 16S ribosomal RNA". The record is from RNAcentral. Lineage: Eukaryota; Metazoa; Arthropoda; Insecta; Diptera; Culicidae.